Molecule: long non-coding RNA, 2692 nt
Organism: Balaenoptera acutorostrata (minke whale)
Lineage: Eukaryota; Metazoa; Chordata; Mammalia; Artiodactyla; Balaenopteridae
Exons: 4
Source: RefSeq, a predicted model, not a curated record
UACAGAAUCAUCUUUCCUCCUCUUCUCCUGGGACACAGCUUGUUCACUCUGACUGGGUUCAUUCCCCUUGCCUAGAAGGAGUUCUGCAGUUCCCCAGGCAAACCCAUCUCAUCUCAGAGACUGGAAGCUCCUGGUGAGCCAGGCCUGGGUCUCACUCUUCUUGGUUCCCCGACGUGCCACAAGCUCAGAGCCCGCUGGCUGGUUUCAGCUGACCUGCCUCUACGACCCCACCUUGGACAGACGAAUUAAUUAGCUGCUCUCAGUCCUGGCUGGCCAGCCCAAAGCCAGAGCCUCUGUGAGUCUGCCCGGCACACAGCAAGUGCUACGUCCAGCCACUUGGGAGAUGACAGAAGAGCCUAGAAAAGCCUUCAGAGAAAUCCAAGGGCCUUGUGUCACCUGGAGCAGAUGAAAGGAGAACAUCAGCUAUAAUGGAAAUAACCAAAGAGAGGAAAAGCAUUUAGGACAAGGAUCAGAACAACGACAACAUGCCUCACAUGGUUCGGUCCUUUAUAGUUUACAACCAAGUGCCCCCGGUUUAUCAAUGAUCCAAGUCCUGGUGCUCAGUAAAUAGUAGCUAUUAUUCUCAUUUCCAUUUUACAGAUGAAAAAACUGAGGACUCAGAGACAUAAAGCCAUUUGGCCAAGAUCACACAGCUGUUAGGUAACAGAUCCAGGACUUAAGUCAGUUUUCUAACAUCUUAAUCCAGAGCUGUUUCAAAACACCACAGGUUCAGUGUAGAAAAAAUGAGGCAAAGGUGGGGCUAGUGGAGGGACUUUAUGCAGAUGACAUGGGCCAGAACCCUGAGACCUAUAGUCCUUUCCAGUCUUUUUUUUUUUUUUUUUUUUUUGCCAUGCUGCGUGGCUUGCGGGAUCUCAGUUCCCAGGGAUUGAACCCAGGCCAUGGCAGUGAAAGUGCCAAAUCCUAACCACUAGACCAUCAGGGAACUCCCAGUCCUUUCCAGUCUUGAGGUCAACAUUCACCCGUGCACUCUGAUCCUCCUCACUCUCUGACUCUCCCUCAUUCCGGUCCUCAGUCAGUCCUUGGGUGCCAGCCUUGGAGGUAGCAGAUUCCAUGAGGACCAGGAAAUAGCAGCCCUAAGAUCCUCCACAGCUUGGAGAAGGUUGUAUCAACAUGACAGUGCCAGGAAAGAGCCCUUGGGAAAAACCACCUGGGACAGCCCGUGGCCAAGGCCCAGCCUGGACCAGGCAGUAUAGCAUAAGAAUUAAGAUUAAGAAUCUAGCCAGAUUGUCUAGUCAGAUCCCCACACCACCACUCACUAGUUAGAAGACCUUGGGUAAAUCAGUCAACCUCCCUGAUUCACUGUUUCUUCCUCCAUCACAUGGAAACAAUAAUGCCAAUCUCAUGGGGCUGUUCUAAGGGUCUUAGCCAAUGUACAUAUAGAACUCAGGGCAGCAGCCAGCAAGUACCACAUAUAUUUACCAUCUUUAUCUUUAUUUACAUGUACUGAGGGGCUCAAAUGUAGACUUUCGGUGUUAGGGCCACAUGAAGUUAUACAUUCAGACACAGAAACACAGGCUAGAAAGAAGUCCCUCACAUCUGUGAAACUGGUCCCAUCAUCAGACCACUCCCCCGUGGACUUCCCAUUGACCAAAUCCAAGCCGAGGCUAGAAGGCAUAGAGCCGUUGAUGUCCUCCAUCCAAGUCAGCCAACCAGGGGAGAGGAAGGGAGGAGUAGGUCGAAGAAUGGACCUGCUGGUCCACAUGCAGGCUAUCUGGCACGUUUUAAAAUUGACAACUGAAACGUUCAUUUUAGGGACUUCCCUGGUGGCACAGUGGUUAAGAAUCCGCCUGCCAAUGCAGGGGACACGGGUUCGAGCCCUGGUCUGGGAAGAUUCCACAUGCUGUGGAGCAACUAAGCCUGUGCGCCACAACUACUGAGCCACGUGUUGCAAAUACAGAUGCCCAUGCACCUAGAGCCCGUGAUCCACAAGAGAAACCACCACAAUGAGAAGCCUGCGCACUGCAAUGAAGACUAAACGCAGCCAAUAAAUAAAUAAAUAAAUAAAAUUAAAGAUACUGCAGUUUUAAAAAAAUGAAAAUAAAAUGAAGGAAUGGAUAUAGAUCAAACAUUUAAAAAAUAAUAAUAAAAUAUUCAUCUUAAAUGUAAGCCAUUGCAAAGGAUAUACUUGCUAGCAUAUUGAAAAUAUCUUUAAAAAACUGUUCCAUCAUCAGUUGAAUGUAAGUAUCAUCAUGGUUUUAUACUCACUAUCAUUCAUGUCAAGAAAAUAUCAGAACAAGCUGUACAUUAGCAGGCAGAAAUGCUACAUCAUUAUUUUUUUUCUUCUUGAAUGUAUAGUUACAUUUUGCUUCCUCUCACAGAAUGUUCUCCUAGGGUAAUAUAUUUUCUGCUGGAAAGUCUGUUAUUGAUUACCUAAUUCAUACUCCCAACAGAAAUUUAUAUAUAUGAUUGCACUUUAAGAAAUUUUAAAAUUUAAAUAAUUUAAAAUUUCCUUUGACUCUAAAGCUCUAUGUUUUAAAAUUUCUUCUGGAUUGAAAUAUCACUUAUUAUUGCAUUAGUACACAAUUGAUCAAAGCAACAUAACAUAUAUCUUUUGAAAAAUGAUUAUUAAACAAAGAGUAAAAUGAUAUUGGAAAUGUAUCUCUUACUGAAAUAGAUUUUUUUCAAUUAGUUUAUGUAUUUAUGAAUAAAUGUUACUUAUUGCUGGAAUGAA